Long non-coding RNA from Erinaceus europaeus (western European hedgehog), 2005 nucleotides. RefSeq lists it as uncharacterized. The record is from RefSeq and is a predicted model, not a curated record. The transcript is spliced from 3 exons. Lineage: Eukaryota; Metazoa; Chordata; Mammalia; Eulipotyphla; Erinaceidae.
UUCUUCUCUGGGGUGCCUCCCUCAGGGCUGGGCUGGCCCGCCCACGUCCGAAAAGCGAUGCCCCGCAAGAUUAUCCUGCAGCUGGGCCAGUGUGGCAACCAGAGUGAGCCAACGAUAAGUACUACAUCCCCAGAGCUGUGCUGCUGAAUCCGAAGCCCCAGGUGAUCCACUGCAUCUUCAACCCCUCCUUAUGCCAAGCUCUACAACCCAGACAUCUGCCUUUCAGAGCAUGAAGGAGGGGCUGGCAACUGGGCCAGCGACUUCUCCCAGGUAGUGUGAGGAAGACCACAGUCCUAGAUGUCAUGAGGAAGCUGCUACAGCCCAAUAAUGUGAUGGUAUCCACAGGUCGGAUCACCGGACCAACCACUACUACACUGUCAUCCUUAACAUCAUCCAGGCGGAGGUGGACCCCACCCAGGUAGGCAAGGAUCCUUCUUUCCAUGCCUAGAGGAGAGACUGCCACCACUGUUGCUGUGUCCACCCCAGGUCCACAAGAACCUGCAAAGGAUCCAGGAAAGAUAGUUGGCCAACUUCAUCCCCUGAGGCCCAGCCAGCAUCCAGGUGGCACUGUCAUGAAAGUCUCACUAAGGGGGAGUCAUCGGACUCAUGACAACCAACCACACCAGCAUCUCCAAAGUGAGUCUAGUCUCCAGAACUUUUGGGCACCCUGUUCCACUAGCUACCUUCAUCAUCUUUCCCCAUCCCUUCCCAACUUCUUGCCUUGUACCUGGCUCCUAUUCUGCAGAUUUCCAUUUCCUCUAGUUCUCUGAGAGUUGUCAGCAGUAUUGACAAGCUACAGAAGCUGGAGGCCUUUUUUGGAGUAGUUCUGAAAGGAAAGCAUCUCCAAGAACUUUGAUGAGCUAGACAGGUCCAGGGAGGUUGUGCAGGAGCUCAUAGAUGAGUAUCAUGCAGCCACAAAGCCAGACUAUAUCUCCUGGGGCACUCAGGAGUGGUGAUUUCCUCAUCACUAUUCAGUAAAUCUUCACUGGACAGUUAGGCACAAUCUCCACCAUGCCUGGCCUCUCUGACCCAAAUUCUCUUCACAGACAACCAUUCUUAGUUAAUUUCUAGACCCAGAACUGAUUCUACUCCUUCUCUUCCAUGCCCUGAUCCCUAAUAUGUUUGUCUAACACUAAUAAAAUAAUAAAGUCUAGUUGCAUGUAUACAGUCAGGGCUUGGUCCAUGGAUAUGAACAGUGAAGGGAUUUCCAUGUUUCCCCCACUUCCCAGAUAUGACAGUAGGGUAGCCUUUCCCUGUCUUAGCUUCUUAUUCCAGUCCAGGUCUUAGCAUGUCUACUGUUCUCAUUGGUAUACCUUGCCUAGGGGGAUACCAUCUCUCAAGACUUCAAAGGGGUAUGAGUUCUGUUAACUCCUUGAUGCCUGCAUUUCUGCUUCAGGUGGAUUUAUGUUGCCCCCCAAGAAAAAACACUGUGGGGGAGACUAAAGCAGGGACACUAGAUUUUCAGCACCCAAGGCUGUAAGAUCCUCAACACAAUUCUAGCCAACAUGAUAAGCAGGAAGAGGCCAGGAGUAAGGCUGAACCCAUCCUGAUAAGCUCUUUUAUCUGUGCCAGAGAAGUUCUUGGGUCUGGAUCCUGUCCCAAUCUUGUCUUCAUUCCAGACCCACAGCAGUAGGCACACCAAAGAUGAACCCAAACAGGGCCCAGAGGUGAACACCAGGGUAGGAACUGGGUAGUGCCAGUCCAGAUGACUCAUUGCCCUCUGGCCUGAGGGACGCCAGGAGGCCACCCUUACGCCACUCAAUGGAGAAUAGAGGGUAAUUGCCAGCUUCAGAAAUGCCUUCAUGCCUGCCCCACCCACCACCCUAUGGCAGCAUACUGGCUAAGAAAAGGUUAAAUCCAGAAGGUCAAGGAGGGUGGAGCACUGUGGUGUCCAGACUUCCCUCAAUGCUGGUAAAAGCCCAGAGUGUAGGCGUCCUAAGGGGUGGAGCUCUGAGCUAUGGGGUUCAUUUGUCCCACUGACAACACUCCCACAGGAAGAGUUUGU